GAACGCUGGCGGCGUGCCUAAUACAUGCAAGUCGAGCGAACGGACGAGAAGCUUGCUUUUCUGAUGUUAGCGGCGGACGGGUGAGUAACACGUGGAUAACCUACCUAUAAGACUGGGAUAACUUCGGGAAACCGGAGCUAAUACCGGAUAAUAUUUUGAACCGCAUGGUUCAAAAGUGAAAGACGGUCUUGCUGUCACUUAUAGAUGGAUCCGCGCUGCAUUAGCUAGUUGGUAAGGUAACGGCUUACCAAGGCAACGAUGCAUAGCCGACCUGAGAGGGUGAUCGGCCACACUGGAACUGAGACACGGUCCAGACUCCUACGGGAGGCAGCAGUAGGGAAUCUUCCGCAAUGGGCGAAAGCCUGACGGAGCAACGCCGCGUGAGUGAUGAAGGUCUUCGGAUCGUAAAACUCUGUUAUUAGGGAAGAACAUAUGUGUAAGUAACUGUGCACAUCUUGACGGUACCUAAUCAGAAAGCCACGGCUAACUACGUG
This 494-nucleotide ribosomal RNA is filed under the name uncultured bacterium. RNAcentral describes it as "partial 16S ribosomal RNA". It matches the Rfam family "Bacterial small subunit ribosomal RNA", at positions 31 to 507 of the family's 1533-position model. The record is from RNAcentral.